CCUACGGGUGGCAGCAGUGGGGAAUAUUGGGCAAUGGGCGCAAGCCUGACCCAGCAACGCCGCGUGAAUGAAGAAGGCCUUCGGGUUGUAAACUCCUUUUAUUGAGGACGAAACAAAUUACGGUUCUCUAUUCAUAAGUCACCUCUAACUACGUGCAAGCCGCCGCGGUAAUACGUAGGUGCCAAGCGUUAUCCGGAUGUGCUGGGGGUAAAGGGCGUGUAGGCGGGACUGCAAGUCAGAUGUGAAAACCAUGGGCUCAACCGAUGGACUGCAUUGGAAACUGGAGUUCUUGAGUGAUGGAGAGGCAGGCGGAAUUCCGUGUGUAGCGGUGAAAUGCGUAGAUAUACGGAGGAACACCAGUGGCGAAGGCGGCCUGCUGGACAUUAACUGACGCUGAGGCGCGAAAGCGUGGGGAGCAAACAGGAUUAGAUACCCUUGUAGUC
RNAcentral lists this ribosomal RNA (443 nucleotides) under uncultured bacterium. RNAcentral describes it as "partial 16S ribosomal RNA". It matches the Rfam family "Bacterial small subunit ribosomal RNA", at positions 338 to 795 of the family's 1533-position model. The record is from RNAcentral.